This 479-nucleotide ribosomal RNA is filed under the name uncultured bacterium. RNAcentral's name for it is "partial 16S ribosomal RNA". It matches the Rfam family "Bacterial small subunit ribosomal RNA", at positions 28 to 507 of the family's 1533-position model. The record is from RNAcentral.
GAUGAACGCUAGCGGCAGGCCUAACACAUGCAAGCCGAGCGGUAGAGUUCCUUCGGGACCUUGAGAGCGGCGUACGGGGGCGUAACACGUGUGCAACCUACCUUUAUCUGGGGGAUAGCCUUUCGAAAGGAAGAUUAAUACCCCAUAAUAUAAUGAUUGGCAUCAAUUAUUAUUGAAAACUCCGGUGGAUAGAGAUGGGCACGCGCAAGAUUAGAUAGUUGGUGAGGUAACGGCUCACCAAGUCAAUGAUCUUUAGGGGUCCUGAGAGGGAGAUCCCCCACAAUGGAACUGAGACACAGACCAGACUCCUACGGGAGGCAGCAGUGUGGAAUAUUGGACAAUGGGGGAAAGCCUGAUCCAGCCAUGCCGGGUGAAGGAUGACGGUCCUAUGGAUUGUAAACUUCUUUUGUACAGGGAUAAACCUACUAUCGGGAGGGUAGCUGAAGGUACUGCAUGAAUAAGCACCGGCUAACUCCGUG